UACGGAGGGUGCAAGCGUUGUCCGGUUUUAUUGGGCGUAAAGAGCGUGUAGGCGGCCAGGUAGGUCAGCGGUGAAAACUCGAGGCUCAACCUCGAGACGUCGGCGGAAACCAUCUGGCUAGAGUCCGGAAGAGGAGAGUGGAAUUCCUGGUGUAGCGGUGAAAUGCGCAGAUAUCAGGAAGAACACCCGUGGCGAAGGCGGCUCUCUGGGACGGUACUGACGCUGAGACGCGAAAGCGUGGGGAGCGAACAGG
RNAcentral lists this ribosomal RNA (253 nucleotides) under uncultured bacterium. Its description in RNAcentral is "partial 16S ribosomal RNA". It matches the Rfam family "Bacterial small subunit ribosomal RNA", at positions 524 to 776 of the family's 1533-position model. The record is from RNAcentral.